RNA transcript from Camelina sativa (false flax), 718 nucleotides. RefSeq lists it as uncharacterized. The record is from RefSeq and is a predicted model, not a curated record. Lineage: Eukaryota; Viridiplantae; Streptophyta; Magnoliopsida; Brassicales; Brassicaceae.
UUUUAUUUUUCUUUUUAGCCCAAUUUUUUUUUUCUCGCUUCGGGGUUUUCGCAUGAAGAAUGCUUCGAUUCGACGACUGCUGAGAAGAUUCACGUUGAGUAAUCUUAUGAUUAGCACGAAACCAUUACAAUCGACUGGGACUCUUCUUUCUCGUGGUGAUUUGAAGAAGAAGAAGAAGUCUUCGACGAUUCGUGGGGAGAUUGGUUUCAAAUUAAUCUUAAGGGUUCUUGUUUUUGGUUUGAUUUAGGCAUGAAACUAUUAUAAUCGGCUGGGCUUCGUCUCCUUCGUGAUGAUUGGUUUCAAAUUAAGGGUUUUGUUUUUGGUUUGAUUCGAGAACGAAACUACAACAAUCGGCUGGGCUUGGUCUCCUUCGUGAUUGAUUUGGUUGUACUGAUCUGAUCUAGGGUUGUUUGGUUUGAUUCGGGCAAGAAGCUAUUUCAAUCCGUUUUGUUUCUUCUUCCUCGGGUUUCGAAUCUAAUCCAUGGAAGCUUGUCUCCGCUUCGUCGAGAUUCUAUUUUGGGGACAUUGUCCCGAGCAAAAUCAUGAACUGUUGGCUUGGUAGUGCAUGCAUGUUGGGAAUGGGAAAAGAGGUUGCGUUGGAUUUAUUCAACGGCUAAGUAAGUCUUAAGACAAAAGACAUAGAACCAAAGAGUUCUCAAAGUUUGGUACCCUCGGCUGGUAAAAACCAUAAGACAUGAAAAAAGAACCAAAGAGUUCU